GCAUAUCAAUAAGCGGAGGAAAAGAAACCAACAGGGAUUGCCUUAGUAGCGGCGAGUGAAGCGGCAAAAGCUCAAAUUUGAAAUCUGGCUCUUUCAGAGUCCGAGUUGUAAUUUGAAGAAGGUAUCUUUGGGUCUGGCUCUUGUCUAUGUUUCUUGGAACAGAACGUCACAGAGGGUGAGAAUCCCGUGCGAUGAGAUGAUCCAGGCCUAUGUAAAGUUCCUUCGAAGAGUCGAGUUGUUUGGGAAUGCAGCUCUAAGUGGGUGGUAAAUUCCAUCUAAAGCUAAAUAUUGGCGAGAGACCGAUAGCGAACAAGUACAGUGAUGGAAAGAUGAAAAGAACUUUGAAAAGAGAGUGAAAAAGUACGUGAAAUUGUUGAAAGGGAAGGGCUUGAGAUCAGACUUGGUAUUUUGUAUGUUACUUCUUCGGGGGUGGCCUCUACAGUUUAUCGGGCCAGCAUCAGUUUGGGCGGUAGGAGAAUUGCGUUGGAAUGUGGCACGGCUUCGGUUGUGUGUUAUAGCCUUCGUCGAUACUGCCAGCCUAGACUGAGGACUGCGGUUUAUACCUAGGAUGUUGGCAUAAUGAUCUUAAGUCGCCCGUCUUGAG
Molecule: ribosomal RNA, 604 nt
Filed under: Candida tropicalis
Lineage: Eukaryota; Fungi; Ascomycota; Pichiomycetes; Serinales; Debaryomycetaceae
Description: eukaryotic LSU rRNA
Rfam family: Eukaryotic large subunit ribosomal RNA
Source: RNAcentral